GUGGGGAAUCUUGCGCAAUGGGCGAAAGCCUGACGCAACCAUGCCGCGUGAAUGAUGAAGGUCUUAGGAUUGUAAAAUUCUUUCACCGGGGACGAUAAUGACGGUACCCGGAGAAGAAGCUCCGGCUAACUUCGUGCCAGCAGCCGCGGUAAUACGAAGGGGGCUAGCGUUGCUCGGAAUUACUGGGCGUAAAGGGCGCGUAGGCGGACAGCUUAGUCAGAGGUGAAAGCCCAGGGCUCAACCUUGGAAUUGCCUUUGAUACUGGCUGUCUUGAGUUUGGGAGAGGUGAGUGGAACUCCGAGUGUAGAGGUGAAAUUCGUAGAUAUUCGGAAGAACACCAGUGGCGAAGGCGACUCACUGGCCCAAUACUGACGCUGAGGCGCGAAAGCGUGGGGAGCAAACAGGAUUAGAAACCCGUGUAGUCC
Molecule: ribosomal RNA, 425 nt
Filed under: uncultured bacterium
Lineage: Bacteria
Description: partial 16S ribosomal RNA
Rfam family: Bacterial small subunit ribosomal RNA
Source: RNAcentral